RNAcentral lists this ribosomal RNA (439 nucleotides) under uncultured bacterium. RNAcentral's name for it is "partial 16S ribosomal RNA". It matches the Rfam family "Bacterial small subunit ribosomal RNA", at positions 339 to 795 of the family's 1533-position model. The record is from RNAcentral.
CUACGGGAGGCUGCAGUGAGGAAUAUUGCACAAUGGGGGGAACCCUGAUGCAGCAACGCCGCGUGGAGGAUGACGCAUUUCGGUGUGUAAACUCCUUUUAUAUGUCAAGAAAAUGACGGUAGCAUAUGAAUAAGCACCGGCUAACUCCGUGCCAGCAGCCGCGGUAAUACGGAGGGUGCAAGCGUUACUCGGAAUCACUGGGCGUAAAGGACGCGUAGGCGGGUUGGAAAGUCAGGUGUGAAAUCCUACAGCUUAACUGUAGAACUGCACUUGAAACUUCUAAUCUAGAGUAUGGGAGGGGGAGAUGGAAUUAGUGGUGUAGGGGUAAAAUCCGUAGAUAUCACUAGGAAUACCUAAAGCGAAGGCGAUCUCCCGGAACAUUACUGACGCUAAGGCGUGAAAGCGUGGGGAGCAAAUAGGAUUAGAUACCCCAGUAGUC